RNAcentral lists this ribosomal RNA (1158 nucleotides) under Triticum aestivum (bread wheat). RNAcentral's name for it is "partial small subunit ribosomal RNA". The record is from RNAcentral. Lineage: Eukaryota; Viridiplantae; Streptophyta; Magnoliopsida; Poales; Poaceae.
AUGGAGGGUUGGUUAACCUUAUGUUUCAUAGCCCUAUCCACGUUGCUGGCCCUUUGGUUCUCCGGCGGCAAGAGCAAGCCCAGGAAGCACCUGCACCUGCCUCCCGGGCCAUGGACUCUCCCGAUCAUCGGCAGCCUCCACCACGUCGUCCUCGGCACGCUCCCUCACCGCACCAUCACCGAUCUGUGUCGCCGGCACGGGCCACUGAUGCUCCUCAAGCUAGGCGAGGUCCCCACGGUGGUGGUCUCCAGCGCCGAGGCGGCGGCGGAGGUGAUGAAGACCAACGGCGUCGCCUUCUCCAACCGGCAGACCACCGAGCUGCAGGAGAUCAUGGGCUUCGGCGGCAAGGGCAUCAUCUUCGCCCCCUACGGCGACCACUGGCGCCAGAUGCGCAAGGUCUGCAUCGUGGAGCUCCUCAGCUCCAAGCAGGUGAAGCGCAUGGAGCGCGUCAGGGCCGAGGAGGUGGGCGGCCUCCUCCGCUCCGUCAUCGCGGCCACGGCCGCCGGCGCCGCCGCCAACCUCAGCGAGAUGUUCGCGGCGCUUGGCAACAAUGUGGUGGCGCGGGCGGCGUUCGGCGGCAAGUUCGCGCGGCAGGAGGAGUUCCUCCGCGCCAUGGACCAGAUCAUGGACCUGCUGGGGGGCUUCUGCCUGGUCGACCUCUUCCCGUCGUCCCGGCUGGCGCGGGGGCUCAGCAAUGGCGAGUGCCGCGUAAAGAGGAUCCGGGACCUCAUUGAGAACAUCAUCACCGAGAUCCUUGACGAGCGCAAGGCGCCGCGAGCAGCCGGUCAUGGCGCAUGCAGCACCGACGAUGAGGACCUGCUGGACGUGCUGCUCAGGCUGCAGGAGGAGGACUCGGCGUACCCUCUAACCACAGAGAUUAUAGUCACUGUCUUGUUGGACAUGUUUGCAGCUGCUUCAGAGACUACAGGAACCGCUUUGGAGUGGGCCAUGUCAGAACUCACAAGUCAUCCUGAAGUUAUGGCUAAGGCACAAUUAGAGGUUCGAGAGGUACUAGGUCAAGGCCGAGCUAUCAUUAGCAAUAGCGAUCUUGCAGAACUCCACUACAUGCAGAUGAUCAUCAAGGAGGUUCUUAGAUUACAUCCACCCGCCGCUUUACUCCCUCGCAAGACCAGAGAAGACUGCAAAAUUAUGGGUUAG